RNAcentral lists this ribosomal RNA (989 nucleotides) under human gut metagenome. Its description in RNAcentral is "bacterial LSU rRNA". It matches the Rfam family "Bacterial large subunit ribosomal RNA", at positions 1934 to 2925 of the family's 2925-position model. The record is from RNAcentral.
CCGUAACUAUAACGGUCCUAAGGUAGCGAAAUUCCUUGUCGGGCAAGUUCCGACCCGCACGAAAGGCGUAACGAUUUGGGCGCUGUCUCAGCUGUAGACUCGGUGAAGUCUUAGUACCUGUGAAGAUGCAGGUUGCCCGCGACUAGACGGAAAGACCCCAUGGAGCUUCACUGCAGGUUGACAUUGGGCUUGGAUGCAUGAUGUACAGGAUAGGUGGGAGGCUGUGAGCCGUGCGCGCCAGCGUACGGGGAGCCGCUGUUGGGAUACCACCCUUCAUGCAUCUAGGUCCUAACCGGAGGCAACGGGCCACGGGACAGUGUCAGUCGGGCAGUUUGACUGGGGCGGUCGCCUCCCAAAGAGUAACGGAGGCGCCCAAAGAUACCCUCAGCAUGGAUGGAAACCAUGCAUAGAGUGCAAAGGCAUAAGGGUGUCUGACUGCGAGACAUACAGGUCGAGCAGGGACGAAAGUCGGGCUUAGUGAUCCGGCGGAUCCGAAUGGAAGGGCCGUCGCUCAACGGAUAAAAGCUACCCUGGGGAUAACAGGCUGAUCUCCCCCAAGAGUCCACAUCGACGGGGAGGUUUGGCACCUCGAUGUCGGCUCAUCGCAUCCUGGGGCUGUAGUCGGUCCCAAGGGUUGGGCUGUUCGCCCAUUAAAGCGGUACGCGAGCUGGGUUCAGAACGUCGUGAGACAGUUCGGUCCCUAUCCGUCGCGGGCGCAGGAAAUUUGAGAGGAUCUGUCCUUAGUACGAGAGGACCGGGAUGGACAUACCGCUGGUGUACCAGUUGUUCUGCCAAGGGCAUCGCUGGGUAGCUAUGUAUGGAUGAGAUAAACGCUGAAAGCAUCUAAGUGCGAAACUCACCUCGAGAUAAGAUUUCCCACUCCUUUAUGGAGUUAAGACCCCUGAGAGAUGAUCAGGUAGAUAGGAUGGAAGUGGAAGUGCGGCGACGCAUGGAGCGGACCAUUACUAAUCGGUCGAGGACUUAACCAA